UACGAACCGUACAAACGUUAUUCGGAAUCACUGGGCUUAAAGGGUGCGUAGGCGGCCAUGUAAGUGAGGUGUGAAAUCCCUCGGCUCAACCGAGGAACUGCGCUUCAUACUGCAUGGCUUGAGGGAGACAGGGGUAAGCGGAACUGAUGGUGGAGCGGUGAAAUGCGUUGAUAUCAUCAGGAACACCGGUGGCGAAGGCGGUCGACUGGGCCAGUACUGACGCUGAGGCGCGACAGCGUGGGGAGCAAACAGG
This 253-nucleotide ribosomal RNA is filed under the name uncultured bacterium. Its description in RNAcentral is "partial 16S ribosomal RNA". It matches the Rfam family "Bacterial small subunit ribosomal RNA", at positions 524 to 776 of the family's 1533-position model. The record is from RNAcentral.